This 268-nucleotide ribosomal RNA is filed under the name uncultured prokaryote. Its description in RNAcentral is "partial 16S ribosomal RNA". It matches the Rfam family "Bacterial small subunit ribosomal RNA", at positions 524 to 792 of the family's 1533-position model. The record is from RNAcentral.
UACGUAGGGGCAAGCGUUAUCCGGAUUUACUGGGUGUAAAGGGAGCGCAGACGGAACUGCAAGUCUGAUGUGAAAGCCCGGGGCUCAACCGCGGGACUGCAUCGGAUACUGUAGAUCUGGAGUGCCGGAGGGGCAAGCGGAAUUCCUGGUGUAGCGGUGAAAUGCGUAGAUAUCAGGAGGAACACCGGCGGCGAAGGCGGCUUGCUGGACGGCAACUGACGUUGAGGCUCGAAAGCGUGGGGAGCAAACAGGAUUAGAUACCCGCGUA